Long non-coding RNA from Rosa chinensis, 834 nucleotides. RefSeq lists it as uncharacterized. The record is from RefSeq and is a predicted model, not a curated record. The transcript has 3 exons. NCBI's taxonomy places the organism in Eukaryota, Viridiplantae, Streptophyta, Magnoliopsida, Rosales, Rosaceae.
UCCUAUUUUUGCUAAACAGUCCCCCCAGCAUCUCCGAUUCUCUCUCUCUCUGUUUCCCUUCAGACCCGGCGGGUUUUCGCCGACCCGACCCGGAGAUUUCUCCGCUCUCCGGCCUCCUCCGGCCAAGGACCCGGACUCCCCUGAGAUCGCCAGCCCACGACAAGCCUCCCUCUGGUGUCGCCGUGCUCUGCCGCUGCCCCGAAAGAUGGAUGGAAGGAGCCACAGUUCCGAUCGGUGACCCGACCGGAAAACCAAUUUUCCGGCAUCCCCUCGGCCGAUCCUUCCCAUUUUCGUGAUCUCCUCCUCCCCCUGAUCAUUCCCAUGAUCUGAUCGUGCGUCCGAGAUUUAAUCCAACUUCAAAGCCUGAUCUAGGACGAUCUAGGCCGAACCGGACUUAGCUCCAGAGGCAACUUAUGGAAUCUAUCAAGAUGGUAAAGAACACAUACAGCCACAGCCGAGUUUCAUUGGAAACUUGUGUUUCCUUAAGGUUUUAUCAUUCACAACCAUUAAGAGGACCAAAGUACAAGGCAAAAAGUUUUGAUACAUGGAGGAGCCUUUGUACAUUACAGAUAUAUCUUUUUUUUGGUAACUCAUGUAGAUUACAGUUGCAACAUUAGUAGUUAUGAAGGUCUUGUGUUCUGUUGAACAUAAAGCUUCUCCUUGGCUCCAUGUUGUGGUUGUUCUUUGACGGAGUUUUGAAUUAGAUUUUAAAAGAUCAUGAUUCUCUUGUGCACACUAAAGAAUUGAUUACUAUAUCUUAUCACAAUGGUAUUCUUGUUGAGUAAACUUAUGAUAGUCCAAGUGGGAGAAUGUAAGACUAAAAUGGACUUUGUC